RNAcentral lists this ribosomal RNA (960 nucleotides) under uncultured organism. RNAcentral describes it as "bacterial SSU rRNA". It matches the Rfam family "Bacterial small subunit ribosomal RNA", at positions 470 to 1428 of the family's 1533-position model. The record is from RNAcentral.
UGACGGUACCCUACUAGAAAGGAGCCGCUAACUUCGUGCCAGAAGCGUCGGUAAUACGGGGGCUCCAAGCGUUAUCCGGUGUUAUUGGGCGUAAAGAGUCGUGUAGGUGGUUGGGUAAGUUAUCUUUCAAAUAUCUUUGCUUAACAAAGAGGAGGGGGAUAAUACUGCUCGACUAGAAUUUUCUCAAGGGAGAUCGGAACUGAGGGAGGAGUAGUGAAAUGCGUUGAUACCCUCGGGAACACCAGUGGCGUAGGCGGAUCUCUGGGAGAAGAUUGACACUGAGACACGAAAGCUAGGGGAGCGAAGCAGAUUAGAGACCUGCGUAGUCCUAGCCGUAAACGCAUGCUUGCUAGCUGCAUGAAUCUACCUUCGGGUGGUAUCGUGUGGCGAAGGUAACCCGUUAAGCAAGCCGCCUGGAAAGUACGGCCGCAAGGCUGAAAUUCAAAGGAAUUGGCGGGGAGGCACACAACCAGUGGAACAUGUGGUUUAAUUCGAGACUAACCGAAGAACCUCACCAGGGUUUGACAUGUAGCUGCACGUCUUAAGAAAUUAAGACUCUCUUGAAGGUGCUACACAGGUGCUGCAUGGCUGUCGUCAGCUCGUUCCGUGAGGAGUGCCCUUAAGUGGGACAACGAGCGCAACCCCUAUUACAUGUUAGAAAUGUCAUGUAAGACUGCCUUGCCAUUUGGCGGGGAGGAAGGAGGGGCAGACGUCAAGUCCGCAUGGUCCUUAUGCCCUGGGCUACACGCAUGUUACAAUGAGUACGGCAAUGAGUCUGUCGCGAGCACGUAAGUGUAAGCUAAUCUCUUAAAUGUACUCUCAGUGGGGAUUGAGGUCUGCAACUCGACCUCAUGAACACGGAAUUGGUAGUAAUCGCGGGUCAGCUAUACCGCGGUGAUACGUUCUUGCCUCUUGCACACACCGCCCGUCAAACCAGCAAAGUCGAUUGUAUCCGAACCU